GCAUCCAUGGCUGAAUGGUUAAAGCGCCCAACCGGGCAAAUUCGUAGGUUCGAUUCCUACUGGAUGCG
Molecule: transfer RNA, 68 nt
Filed under: Helianthus annuus (common sunflower)
Lineage: Eukaryota; Viridiplantae; Streptophyta; Magnoliopsida; Asterales; Asteraceae
Rfam family: tRNA
About the family: Transfer RNA (tRNA) molecules are approximately 80 nucleotides in length. Their secondary structure includes four short double-helical elements and three loops (D, anti-codon, and T loops). Further hydrogen bonds mediate the characteristic L-shaped molecular structure. tRNAs have two regions of fundamental functional importance: the anti-codon, which is responsible for specific mRNA codon recognition, and the 3' end, to which the tRNAs corresponding amino acid is attached (by aminoacyl-tRNA synthetases). tRNAs cope with the degeneracy of the genetic code in two manners: having more than one tRNA (with a specific anti-codon) for a particular amino acid; and 'wobble' base-pairing, i.e. permitting non-standard base-pairing at the 3rd anti-codon position.
Source: RNAcentral